Molecule: ribosomal RNA, 468 nt
Filed under: uncultured bacterium
Lineage: Bacteria
Description: partial 16S ribosomal RNA
Rfam family: Bacterial small subunit ribosomal RNA
Source: RNAcentral
GACGAACGCUGGCGGCGUGCUUAACACAUGCAAGUCGAACGGAAAGGCCCUGCUUUUGUGGGGUGCUCGAGUGGCGAACGGGUGAGUAACACGUGAGUAACCUGCCCUUGACUUUGGGAUAACUUUAGGAAAAUGGGGCUAAUACCGGAUAGGAGCUCUUGCUGCAUGGUGGGGGUUGGAAAGUUUCGGCGGUUGGGGAUGGACUCGCGGCUUAUCAGCUUGUUGGUGGGGUAGUGGCUUACCAAGGCUGUGACGGGUAGCCGGCCUGAGAGGGUGACCGGCCACAUUGGGACUGAGAUACGGCCCAGACUCCUACGGGAGGCAGCAGUGGGGAAUAUUGCACAAUGGGCGGAAGCCUGAUGCAGCAACGCCGCGUGCGGGAUGACGGCCUUCGGGUUGUAAACCGCUUUCGCCUGUGACGAAGCGGGAGUGACGGUAAUGGGUAAAGAAGCACCGGCUAACUACGUG